GACGAACGCUGGCGGCGUGCUUAACACAUGCAAGUCGAACGGAAAGGCCCUGCUUUUGUGGGGUUCUCGAGUGGCGAACGGGUGAGUAACACGUGAGUAACCUGCCCUUGACUUUGGGAGAACUUCAGGAAACUGGGGCUAAUACCGGAUAGAAGCUCCUGCUGCAUGGUGGGGGUUGGAAAGUUUCGGCGGUGGUGGAUGGACUCGCGGCUUAUCAGCUUGUUGGUGUGGUAGUGGCUUACCAAGGCUUUGACGGGUAGCCGGCAUGAGAGGGUGAACGGCCACCUUGGGACUGAGAUACGGCCCAGACUCCUACGGGACGCAGCAGUGGGGAAUCUUGCACAAUGGGCGGACGCCUGAUGCAGCAACGCCGCGUGCGGGAUGCCGUCCUUCGGGUUGUAAACCGCUUUCGAAUGUGACGAAGCGUGAGUGACGGUACUGGGUAAAGAAGCCCCGGCUAACUACGUG
RNAcentral lists this ribosomal RNA (468 nucleotides) under uncultured bacterium. RNAcentral describes it as "partial 16S ribosomal RNA". It matches the Rfam family "Bacterial small subunit ribosomal RNA", at positions 28 to 507 of the family's 1533-position model. The record is from RNAcentral.